Molecule: ribosomal RNA, 694 nt
Filed under: uncultured bacterium
Lineage: Bacteria
Description: bacterial SSU rRNA
Rfam family: Bacterial small subunit ribosomal RNA
Source: RNAcentral
AACGCUAGCUACAGGCUUAACACAUGCAAGUCGAGGGGUAACGAGAGGAAAGCUUGCUUUCCUUGUCGACGACCGGCGCACGGGUGAGUAACGCGUAUCCAACCUGCCCCCAACUAGGGAAUAACCUUGCGAAAGUAAGACUAAUACCCUAUAAUUUCCUCAGAUGUCAUCUGACGAGGAAUAAAGAUUUAUCGGUUGUGGAUGGGGAUGCGUCUGAUUAGCUUGUUGGCGGGGUAACGGCCCACCAAGGCAACGAUCAGUAGGGGUUCUGAGAGGAAGGUCCCCCACAUUGGAACUGAGACACGGUCCAAACUCCUACGGGAGGCAGCAGUGAGGAAUAUUGGUCAAUGGGCGGAAGCCUGAACCAGCCAAGUAGCGUGCAGGAUGACGGCCCUAUGGGUUGUAAACUGCUUUUAUACAGGAAUAAAGUUAGCCACGUGUGGUUAUUUGUAGGUACUGUAUGAAUAAGGACCGGCUAAUUCCGUGCCAGCAGCCGCGGUAAUACGGAAGGUCCAGGCGUUAUCCGGAUUUAUUGGGUUUAAAGGGAGCGUAGGCCGUCUGUUAAGCGUGUUGUGAAAUGUAGAUGCUCAACAUCUGAAUUGCAGCGCGAACUGGCAGACUUGAGUGUGCGCAACGUAGGCGGAAUUCGUGGUGUGGCGGUGAAAUGCUUAGAUAUCACGAAGAACUCCGAUUG